AGGAACUUGAUUAGGGAGGUUGCUGGAUUCGCUCCCUAUGAGAAAUGUAUCACUGAGCUUCUUAAGGUUGGAAAGGACAAGCGUGCACUCAAGGUCGCCAAGAGAAAGCUUGGUACUCACAAGAGAGCAAAGAAGAAGAGAGAGGAGAUGUCAAGUGUCCUUAGGAAGAUGAGGUCUGCUGGUGGUGGUGGUGCUGGUGACAA
Long non-coding RNA from Triticum aestivum (bread wheat), 203 nucleotides. RefSeq lists it as uncharacterized. Lineage: Eukaryota; Viridiplantae; Streptophyta; Magnoliopsida; Poales; Poaceae. The record is from RefSeq and is a predicted model, not a curated record. The transcript has 2 exons.